Molecule: ribosomal RNA, 602 nt
Filed under: uncultured bacterium
Lineage: Bacteria
Description: bacterial SSU rRNA
Rfam family: Bacterial small subunit ribosomal RNA
Source: RNAcentral
UAGUGGGUGGGGUAACGGCCCACCAAGGCGACGAUCAGUAGCCGGACUGAAAGGUUGCCCGGCCACAUUGUGAUUGAGACACGGCCCAGACUCCUACGGGAGGCAGCAGUGGGGAAUAUUGGGCAAUGGGCGCAAGCCUGACCCAGCAACGCCGCGUGAAGGAAGAAGGCUUUCGGGUUGUAAACUUCUUUUGUUAGGGACGAAGAAAGUGACGGUACCUAAGGAAUAAGCCACGGCUAACUACGUGCCAGCAGCCGCGGUAAUAAGUAGGUGGCAAGCGUUAUCUGGAUUUACUGGGUGUAAAGGGCGUGUAGGCGGGAUUGCAAGUCAGAUGUGAAAACCACGGGCUCAACCUGUGGCCUGCAUUUGAAACUGUAGUUCUUGAGUACUGGAGAGGCAGACGGAAUUCCUAGUGUAGCGGUGAAAUGCGUAGAUAUUAGGAGGAACACCAGUGGCGAAGGCGGUCUGCUGGACAGCAACUGACGAUGAGGCGCGAAAGCGUGGGGAGCCAACAGGAUUAGAUACCCUGGUAGUCCACGCCGUAAACGAUGACUACUAGGUGUGGGGGGUCUGACCCCCUCCGUGCCGCAGUAACGCAAUAA